CGCGUAGGCGGUAUCUUAAGUCAGAGGUGAAACUGUGGGCUCAACCCACAGCCUGCCUUUGAAACUGGGAGACUUGAGGGCAGGAGAGGGGAGUGGAAUUCCCAGUGUAGCGGUGAAAUGCGUAGAUAUUGGGAGGAACACCAGUGGCGAAGGCGGCUCUCUGGCCUGUUUCUGACGCUGAGGCGCGAAAGCGUGGGGAGCAAACG
This 206-nucleotide ribosomal RNA is filed under the name uncultured Peptococcaceae bacterium. Its description in RNAcentral is "partial 16S ribosomal RNA". It matches the Rfam family "Bacterial small subunit ribosomal RNA", at positions 568 to 774 of the family's 1533-position model. Lineage: Bacteria; Bacillati; Bacillota; Clostridia; Eubacteriales; Peptococcaceae. The record is from RNAcentral.